AUGCUCACUUUAGCAGCCCAAAAAGUAAAACAGGAAAGAAUACACAGAAGACUAGCAUGACCUCCACAUAAGGAUGAUCCACAAAUUUAUGAAGCAGUUCAUAUUUUU
Molecule: small nuclear RNA, 108 nt
Organism: Talpa occidentalis (Iberian mole)
Lineage: Eukaryota; Metazoa; Chordata; Mammalia; Eulipotyphla; Talpidae
Source: RefSeq, a predicted model, not a curated record